GGUUCGAUUAUGGUCGCCAGAUUGAACGCUGGCGGGAUGCUUUACAUGCAAGUCGGAAUGCAGCACGACUUCGGUCUGGUGGCGAGUGGCGAACGGGUGAGUAAUGGUAUCGGAACGUGCCUAGUAGCGGGGAUAACUACGCGAAAGCGAAGCAUCACUGCAUAUUGCCCUUCGGGGGAAAGCGGGGACCUCUGGGCCUCGCACUAUUAGAGCGGCCGAUAUCGGAUUAGCUAGUUGGUGGGUAACGGCUCACCAAGGCGACGAUCCGUAGCUGGUUUGAGAGGGACGACCAGCCACACCGGGACUGGAGACACAGCUGCCCAGACUCCUACGGGAGGCAGCAGUGGGGAAUUUUGGACAAUGGGGAAACCCUGAUCCAGCCAUCCGCGUGUGCGAUGAAGGCCUUCGGGUUGUAAAGCACUUUUGGCAGGAAGAAACGCACGGGAUAAUACCCCGUGCAACUGACGGGGUACCUGCAGAAUAAGCACCGCCAACUUGCCGCCAGCAGCCGCGGUAAUAAUGUAGGCAGCGUUAAUCGGAAUUGGCUACUGGGCGUAAAGCGCGCAGGCGGGUUCGGAAAGAAAGACGGAAACUGCAGGAGCUAACUUUGGAACUGCAUUUUGAAUUUACCGAGCUAGAGUGUGUCAGAGGGAGGUGGAAUUCCGCGUGUAGCAGGAAAUGCGGAUAUGGCAGGAGGAACACCCGAUGGCGAAGGCAGCCUCUGGGAUAACAUCACACUGACGCUCGCACGAAAGCGCGGGGAGCAAAACAGGAUUAGAUACCCUGCAGUCCACGCCCUAAACGAUGUCAACUAGCUGUUGGGGCCUUCGGGCCUUGGUAGCGCAGCUAACGCGUGAAGUUGGACCAUCAGUCUGGGGAGUACGGUCGCAAGAUUAAAACUAAUAAAGCGGAAUUGAGCCGGACCUGCACAAGCGGUGGAUGAUGUGGGAUUAAUUCGAUGCAACGCGAAAACCCUACCUACCCUUGACAUGUCUGAAUCCCGAAGAGAUUUGGGAGGCUCGUAAGAGAACCGGAACACAGGUGCUCGCAUGGCUAUCGUCAGCUCGUGUCGUGAGAUGUUGGGUUAAGUCCCGCAACGAGCGCAAACUCUUGUCAUUAGUUGCUACGAAAGGGCACUCUGAAUGAGACUGUUAGACAAACUGGAGGAAGGGGGACAGACGUCAAGUCCUCAUGGCCCUUUAUGGGUAGGGCUUCACACGUCAUAAUGGUCGGGACAGAGGGUCGCCAACCAAGUAGGGGAGCCAAUCCUGAACCUGAUCGGUCUGGAUCAGAAGCCUGUAACUGACUGCGUGAAGUCGGAAUCGCUAGUAACCGCGAUCAGUUACUGUCGCGGUGAAUACGUUCCCCGGGUCUUGUACACACCGCCCGCUCACACCAUGGAGUGGGUUUUACCAGAAGUAGUUAGCCUAACCGUAAGGAGGGCGAUUACCACGGUAGGAUUCAGGAUCAGUGAAGUCGCACAGCCGC
Molecule: ribosomal RNA, 1488 nt
Filed under: uncultured Bordetella sp.
Lineage: Bacteria; Pseudomonadati; Pseudomonadota; Betaproteobacteria; Burkholderiales; Alcaligenaceae
Description: partial 16S-23S ribosomal RNA intergenic spacer
Rfam family: Bacterial small subunit ribosomal RNA
Source: RNAcentral